This 496-nucleotide ribosomal RNA is filed under the name uncultured bacterium. Its description in RNAcentral is "partial 16S ribosomal RNA". It matches the Rfam family "Bacterial small subunit ribosomal RNA", at positions 28 to 507 of the family's 1533-position model. The record is from RNAcentral.
GACGAACGCUGGCGGCGUGCCUAAUACAUGCAAGUAGAACGCUGAAACUUGGUGCUUGCACCGAGCGGAUGAGUUGCGAACGGGUGAGUGACGCGUAGGUAACCUGCCUGGUAGCGGGGGAUAACUAUUGGAAACGAUAGCUAAUACCGCAUAAGAGUAGAUGUUGCAUGACAUUUGCUUAAAGGUGCAAUUGCACCACUACCAGAUGGACCUGCGUUGUAUUAGCUAGUUGGUGGGGUAACGGCUCACCAAGGCGACGAUACAUAGCCGACCUGAGAGGGUGAUCGGCCACACUGGGACUGAGACACGGCCCAGACUCCUACGGGAGGCAGCAGUAGGGAAUCUUCGGCAAUGGACGGAAGUCUGACCGAGCAACGCCGCGUGAGUGAAGAAGGUUUUCGGAUCGUAAAGCUCUGUUGUAAGAGAAGAACGAGUGUGAGAGUGGAAAGUUCACACUGUGACGGUAUCUUACCAGAAAGGGACGGCUAACUACGUG